AUUGAACGCUGGCGGCAGGCCUAACACAUGCAAGUCGAGCGCGCGGCGGACGGGUGAGUAAUGUCUGGGGAACUGCCUGAUGGAGGGGGAUAACUACUGGAAACGGUAGCUAAUACCGCAUACUACCUGAUGUGUCCACAUGGGAUUAGCUCGUAGGUGGGGUAAGGGCUCACCUAGGCGACGAUCCCUAGCUGGUCUGAGAGGAUGACCAGCCACACUGGAACUGAGACACGGUCCAGACUCCUACGGGAGGCAGCAGUGGGGAAUAUUGCACAAUGGGCGCAAGCAUGAUGCAGCCAUGCCGCGUGUGUGAAGAAGGCCUUCGGGUUGUAAAGCACUUUCAGCGGGGAGGCGUUACCCGCAGAAGAAGCACCGGCUAACUCCGUGCCAGCAGCCGCGGUAAUAC
RNAcentral lists this ribosomal RNA (406 nucleotides) under uncultured bacterium. RNAcentral's name for it is "partial 16S ribosomal RNA". It matches the Rfam family "Bacterial small subunit ribosomal RNA", at positions 30 to 526 of the family's 1533-position model. The record is from RNAcentral.